GAUGAACGCUAGCUACAGGCUUAACACAUGCAAGUCGAGGGACCGGCGCACGGGUGAGUAACACGUAUCCAACCUGCCCUUUACUCGGGGAUAGCCUUUCGAAAGAAAGAUUAAUACCCGAUAUAAAGGAUGGGGAUGCGUUGCAUUAGGUUGUUGGUGAGGUAACGGCUCACCAAGCCUUCGAUGGAGAGGGGUUCUGAGAGGAAGGUCACCGACAUUGGAACUGAGGCGCGGUCCAAACGCCUACGGGAGGCAGCAGUGAGGGAUGUUUGUCAAUGGGCGCUAGCCUGAACCAGCCGAGUAGCGUGAAGGAUGAAGGCGUAUGGGGCGUGUAAUUCUUUUAUAUAAGAAAGUGUAUUAUAUGAAUAAGGAUCGGCUAACUCCGUGCCAGCCGCCGCGGUAAUUC
RNAcentral lists this ribosomal RNA (406 nucleotides) under uncultured bacterium. Its description in RNAcentral is "partial 16S ribosomal RNA". It matches the Rfam family "Bacterial small subunit ribosomal RNA", at positions 28 to 526 of the family's 1533-position model. The record is from RNAcentral.